This 71-nucleotide transfer RNA is filed under the name Rana chaochiaoensis. RNAcentral's name for it is "tRNA-Gln". It matches the Rfam family "tRNA". From Rfam's summary of the family: Transfer RNA (tRNA) molecules are approximately 80 nucleotides in length. Their secondary structure includes four short double-helical elements and three loops (D, anti-codon, and T loops). Further hydrogen bonds mediate the characteristic L-shaped molecular structure. tRNAs have two regions of fundamental functional importance: the anti-codon, which is responsible for specific mRNA codon recognition, and the 3' end, to which the tRNAs corresponding amino acid is attached (by aminoacyl-tRNA synthetases). tRNAs cope with the degeneracy of the genetic code in two manners: having more than one tRNA (with a specific anti-codon) for a particular amino acid; and 'wobble' base-pairing, i.e. permitting non-standard base-pairing at the 3rd anti-codon position. The record is from RNAcentral. Lineage: Eukaryota; Metazoa; Chordata; Amphibia; Anura; Ranidae.
UAAGAAGUAGUACAAAGGAAGUACAGAGGGCUUUGAUCUCUCAGAUGUAGGUUCGAUUCCUAUCUUUUUAA